GACGAACGCUGGCGGCGUGUUUAACACAUGCAAGUCGAACGGAAAGGCCCUGCUUUUGUGGGGUGCUCGAGUGGCGAACGGGUGAGUAACACGUGAGUAACCUGCCCUUGACUUUGGGAUAACUUCAGGAAACUGGGGCUAAUACCGGAUAGGAGCUCCUGCUGCAUGGUGGGGGUUGGAAAGUUUCGGCGGUUGGGGAUGGACUCGCGGCUUAUCAGCUUGUUGGUGGGGUAGUGGCUUACCAAGGCUUUGACGGGUAGCCGGCCUCAGAGGGUGACCGGCCACAUUGGGACUGAGAUACGGCCCAGACUCCUACGGGAGGCAGCAGUGGGGAAUAUUGCACAAUGGGCGGAAGCCUGAUGCAGCAACGCCGCGUGCGGGAUGACGGCCUUCGGGUUGUAAACCGCUUUCGCCUGUGACGAAGCGUGAGUGACGGUAAUGGGUAAAGAAGCACCGGCUAACUACGUGC
This 469-nucleotide ribosomal RNA is filed under the name uncultured bacterium. RNAcentral describes it as "partial 16S ribosomal RNA". It matches the Rfam family "Bacterial small subunit ribosomal RNA", at positions 28 to 508 of the family's 1533-position model. The record is from RNAcentral.